Molecule: transfer RNA, 75 nt
Filed under: Actinomycetota bacterium
Lineage: Bacteria; Bacillati; Actinomycetota
Description: Actinobacteria bacterium (freshwater metagenome) tRNA-Met
Rfam family: tRNA
About the family: Transfer RNA (tRNA) molecules are approximately 80 nucleotides in length. Their secondary structure includes four short double-helical elements and three loops (D, anti-codon, and T loops).
Source: RNAcentral
AGCGGGGUGGAGCAGUGGUAGCUCGUCGGGCUCAUAACCCGGAGGUCGUUGGUUCGAAUCCAACCCCCGCAACCA